GGACAGGCCAUAGCUCAAUGGUAGAGCAUCUUCCUUGCACAAAGGAGGUCACAAGUUCAAUCCCUGGCAUGUCCU
This is a non-coding RNA of Podarcis lilfordi (Lilford's wall lizard), 75 nucleotides long. NCBI's taxonomy places the organism in Eukaryota, Metazoa, Chordata, Lepidosauria, Squamata, Lacertidae. The record is from the annotation of a GenBank genome assembly.